RNAcentral lists this ribosomal RNA (243 nucleotides) under uncultured bacterium. Its description in RNAcentral is "partial 16S ribosomal RNA". It matches the Rfam family "Bacterial small subunit ribosomal RNA", at positions 524 to 765 of the family's 1533-position model. The record is from RNAcentral.
UACGGAGGGAGCUAGCGUUAUUCGGAAUUACUGGGCGUAAAGCGCACGUAGGCGGCUUUGUAAGUUAGAGGUGAAAGCCUGGAGCUCAACUCCAGAAUUGCCUUUAAGACUGCAUCGCUUGAAUCCAGGAGAGGUGAGUGGAAUUCCGAGUGUAGAGGUGAAAUUCGUAGAUAUUCGGAAGAACACCAGUGGCGAAGGCGGCUCACUGGACUGGUAUUGACGCUGAGGUGGCGAAAGCGUGGG